UUUCCGUAGGUGAACCUGCGGUAGGAUCAUUCAUAAUAAAGUGUUUUAUGGCACUUUUUAAAAAUCCAUAUCCACCUUGUGUGCAAUGUUAGAUCUCGUCAAUCUUGGCGAGAUUUUUAUACAUCAACUCAUUCUUUAACUAAUUUGUCUGAAAAAUAUUAUGAAUACUUAAUUCAAAAUACAACUUUCAACAACGGAUCUCUUGGCUCUCGCAUCAUGAAGAACGCAGC
RNAcentral lists this unclassified non-coding RNA (230 nucleotides) under plant metagenome. Its description in RNAcentral is "partial contains small subunit ribosomal RNA, internal transcribed spacer 1, and 5.8S ribosomal RNA". The record is from RNAcentral.